Molecule: long non-coding RNA, 538 nt
Organism: Gasterosteus aculeatus aculeatus (three-spined stickleback)
Lineage: Eukaryota; Metazoa; Chordata; Actinopteri; Perciformes; Gasterosteidae
Source: Ensembl
GUCGGGUUGCCGGGAUGUUAAGAAAUGGCUCUAAAGUGCUGAAGUCACAGCUGUGUGAGCUAGUAAAGGUAGGUGGUGAAGUGAGCUAGUAGAGGUAUGUGGUGAAGUGAGCUAGUAGAGGUAUGUGGUGAAGUGAGCUAGUAGAGGUAUGUGGUGAAGUGAGCUAGUAGAGGUAGGUGGUGAAGUGAGCUAGUAAAGGUGGUGAAGUGAGCUAGUAAAGGUGGUGAAGUGAGCUAGUAGAGGUAGGUGGUGAAGUGAGCUAGUAGAGGUAGGUGGUGAAGUGAGCUAGUAGAGGUAGGUGGUGAAGUGAGCUAGUAGAGGUGGUGAAGUGAGCUAGUAAAGGUGCUGAAAUUAGCUAGUAAAGGUGCUGAAAUUAGCUAGUAAAGGUGCUGAAGUGAGCAAGCUAGCCUGUAUCAAUAGAAGCAAGUCGUCCUUCGCAGCGUCACUUCGCAGUUCCAGAUGUUGCCGGUGGUUUCUCAUCUGCAAUCACGCCGUUAGUUUCACGUGUGCGCUGUUCCGUCACACGCUGAGCUUCAGG